CUAAGUGGCGGACGGGUGAGUAAUGUAUAGUUAAUCUGCCCUUUAGAGGGGGAUAACAGUUGGAAACGACUGCUAAUACCCCAUACUCCUUUUACAUUAAUUGUAAUUGGGAAACGUUUUUUCGCUAAAGGAUGAGACUAUAUGGUAUCAGGUAGUUGGCGGGGUAAGAGCCCACCAAGCCAAUGACGCCUAGCUGGUCUGAGAGGAUGAUCAGCCACACUGGAACUGAGACACGGUCCAG
RNAcentral lists this ribosomal RNA (241 nucleotides) under uncultured bacterium. RNAcentral's name for it is "partial 16S ribosomal RNA". It matches the Rfam family "Bacterial small subunit ribosomal RNA", at positions 91 to 334 of the family's 1533-position model. The record is from RNAcentral.